UAGUCAGUGGCGUAAGGGUGCGUAACACGUGGGCAACCUGCCCGGAAGUGGGGGAUAGCUCGCCGAAAGGCGAAUUAAUACCGCAUGUGGCUACAGUUGGAAUCAACUGGACGCCAAAGUCGGGGCAACCUGACGCUUCUGGAUGGGCCCGCGGCCUAUCAGCUAGUUGGUGAGGUAACGGCUCACCAAGGCGAUGACGGGUAGCUGGUCUGAGA
RNAcentral lists this ribosomal RNA (215 nucleotides) under uncultured bacterium. Its description in RNAcentral is "partial 16S ribosomal RNA". It matches the Rfam family "Bacterial small subunit ribosomal RNA", at positions 89 to 297 of the family's 1533-position model. The record is from RNAcentral.